GACGAACGCUGGCGGCGUGCUUAACACAUGCAAGUCGAACGGAAAGGCCCUGCUUUUGUGGGGUGCUCGAGUGGCGAACGGGUGAGUAACACGUGAGUAACCUGCCCUUGACUUUGGGAUAACUUCAGGAAACUGGGGCUAAUACCGGAUAGGAGCUCCUGCUGCAUGGUGGGGGUUGGAAAGUUUCGGCGGUUGGGGAUGGACUCGCGGCUUAUCAGCUUGUUGGUGGGGUAGUGGCUUACCAAGGCUUUGACGGGUAGCCGGCCUGAGAGGGUGACCGGCCAAAUUGGGACUGAGAUACGGCCCAGACGCAUACGGGAGGCAGCAGUGGAGAAUAUGGCACAAUGGGCGGAAGCCUGAUGGAGCAACGCCGCGUGCGGGAUGACGGCCUUCGGGUUGUAAACCGCUUUCGCCUGUGACGAAGCGUGAGUGACGGUAAUGGGUAAAGAAGCACCGGCUAACUACGU
Molecule: ribosomal RNA, 467 nt
Filed under: uncultured bacterium
Lineage: Bacteria
Description: partial 16S ribosomal RNA
Rfam family: Bacterial small subunit ribosomal RNA
Source: RNAcentral